Molecule: ribosomal RNA, 301 nt
Filed under: uncultured bacterium
Lineage: Bacteria
Description: partial 16S ribosomal RNA
Rfam family: Bacterial small subunit ribosomal RNA
Source: RNAcentral
CAGCCGCCGCGGUAAUACAGAGGGUGCGAGCGUUAAUCGGAUUUACUGAGCGUAAAGCGUGCGUAGGCGGCUUUUUAAGUCGGAUGUGAAAUCCCUGAGCUUAACUUAGGAAUUGCAUUCGAUACUGGGAAGCUAGAGUAUGGGAGAGGAUGGUAGAAUUCCAGGUGUAGCGGUGAAAUGCGUAGAGAUCUGGAGGAAUACCGAUGGCGAAGGCAGCCAUCUGGCCUAAUACUGACGCUGAGGUACGAAAGCAUGGGGAGCAAACAGGAUUAGAUACCCCUGUAGUCCCUGUCUCUUAUAC